GGCGGCAUGCUUUACACAUGCAAGUCGAACGGUAACAGGGAGCUUGCUCCGCUGACGAGUGGCGAACGGGUGAGUAAUGCGUCGGAACGUGCCGAGUAGUGGGGGAUAACGCAUCGAAAGGUGUGCUAAUACCGCAUACGAACUGAGGUUGAAAGUGGGGGACCUUCGGGCCUCACGCUAUUCGAGCGGCCGACGUCUGAUUAGCUAGUUGGUGAGGUAAAGGCUCACCAAGGCGACGAUCAGUAGCGGGUCUGAGAGGAUGAUCCGCCACACUGGGACUGAGACACGGCCCAGACUCCUACGGGAGGCAGCAGUGGGGAAUUUUGGACAAUGGGCGCAAGCCUGAUCCAGCCAUGCCGCGUGUCUGAAGAAGGCCUUCGGGUUGUAAAGGACUUUUGUCCGGGAGCAAAUGCCUGGUGUUAAUAGCAUCGGGAGCUGAGAGUACCGGAAGAAUAAGCACCGGCUAACUACGUGCCAGCAGCCGCGGUAAUACGUAGGGUGCAAGCGUUAAUCGGAAUUACUGGGCGUAAAGCGUGCGCAGGCGGUUUUGUAAGCCAGAUGUGAAAGCCCCGGGCUCAACCUGGGAACUGCGUUUGGAACUACAAGACUAGAGUGUGUCAGAGGGGGGUGGAAUUCCGCGUGUAGCAGUGAAAUGCGUAG
This 660-nucleotide ribosomal RNA is filed under the name beta proteobacterium TH-H17. Its description in RNAcentral is "bacterial SSU rRNA". It matches the Rfam family "Bacterial small subunit ribosomal RNA", at positions 38 to 693 of the family's 1533-position model. Lineage: Bacteria; Pseudomonadati; Pseudomonadota; Betaproteobacteria. The record is from RNAcentral.